RNAcentral lists this ribosomal RNA (661 nucleotides) under uncultured Actinomycetes bacterium. Its description in RNAcentral is "bacterial SSU rRNA". It matches the Rfam family "Bacterial small subunit ribosomal RNA", at positions 232 to 885 of the family's 1533-position model. The record is from RNAcentral. Lineage: Bacteria; Bacillati; Actinomycetota; Actinomycetes.
CGCGGCCUUCAGCUUGUUGGUGGGGUAACGGCCUACCAAGGCAACGAUGGGUAGCUGGUCUGAGAGGAUGAUCAGCCACACUGGCACUGGAACACGGGCCAGACUCCUACGGGAGGCAGCGGUGAGGAAUAUUGGGCAAUGGGCGAAAGCCUGACCCAGCCACGCCGCGUGUGUGAUGAAGGCCUUCGGGUCGUAAAGCACUGUGGGGAGAGACGAACAUGCGCAGGAGGAAAUGCCUGCGUACUGACGGUACCUCCUUAGCAAGCACCGGCUAACUCUGUGCCAGCAGCCGCGGUAAUACAGAGGGUGCAAACGUUGCUCGGAUUUACUGGGCGUAAAGCGCGUGUAGGCGGACUCGCAAGUCGGUUGUGAAAUCCCUGGGCUUAACCUAGGAACUGCAUCCGAAACUGCUUGUCUUGACUAAUGGAGAGGGUGGCGGAAUUCCCGGUGUAGAGGUGAAAUUCGUAGAUAUCGGGAGGAACAUCAGUGCCGAAGGCGGCCACCUGGACAUUUACUGACGCUGAGACGCGAAAGCGUGGGGAGCAAACAGGAUUAGAUACCCUGGUAGUCCACGCCGUAAACGAUGAGAACUAGGUGCAGCGGAUAUUGACCUCUGCUGUGCCGUAGCUAACGCGUUAAGUUCCCCGCCUGGGGAGUACGG